UACAGAGGUCUCAAGCGUUGUUCGGAUUCAUUGGGCGUAAAGGGUGUGUAGGUGGCGCGCUAAGUCGGGUGUGAAAUUUCGGAGCUUAACUCCGAAACUGCAUUCGAUACUGGCGUGCUUGAGGACUGGAGAGGAGACUGGAAUUUACGGUGUAGCAGUGAAAUGCGUAGAUAUCGUAAGGAAGACCAGUGGCGAAGGCGGGUCUCUGGACAGUAACUGACGCUGAGGAGCGAAAGCGUGGGUAGCAAACAGG
RNAcentral lists this ribosomal RNA (253 nucleotides) under uncultured bacterium. Its description in RNAcentral is "partial 16S ribosomal RNA". It matches the Rfam family "Bacterial small subunit ribosomal RNA", at positions 524 to 776 of the family's 1533-position model. The record is from RNAcentral.